UCAACACUAUAACCCAGCCUGUUAACUACAGUAGAAGGUAUAUGUAGUCAACACUAUAACCCAGCCUGUUAACUACAGUAGAAGGUAUAUGUAGUCAACACUAUAACCCAGCCUGUUAACUACAGUAGAAGGUAUAUGUAGUCAACACUAUAACCCAGCCUGUUAACUACAGUAGAAGGUAUAUGUAGUCAACACUAUAACCCAGCCUGUUAACUACAGUAGAAGGUAUAUGUAGUCAACACUAUAACCCAGCCUGUUAACUACAGUAGAAGGUAUAUGUAGUCAACACUAUAACCCAGCCUGUUAACUACAGUAGAAGGUACAUGUAGUCAACACUAUAACCCAGCCUGUUAACUACAGUAGAAGGUACAUGUAGUUAACACUAUAACCCAGCCUGUUAACUACAGUAGAAGGUACAUGUAGUCAACACUAUAACCCAGCCUGUUAACUACAGUAGAAGGUAUAUGUAGUCAACACUAUAACCCAGCCUGUUAACUACAGUAGAA
Molecule: long non-coding RNA, 506 nt
Organism: Oncorhynchus keta (chum salmon)
Lineage: Eukaryota; Metazoa; Chordata; Actinopteri; Salmoniformes; Salmonidae
Exons: 3
Source: RefSeq, a predicted model, not a curated record